UACAGAGGUCCCGAGCGUUGUUCGGAUUCACUGGGCGUAAAGGGUGCGUAGGUGGUGAGGUAAGUCGGAUGUGAAAUCUCCGGGCUCAACCCGGAAACUGCAUUGGAAACUACCUUGCUGGAGGGUUUGAGGGGGGACUGGAAUUCUCGGUGUAGCAGUGAAAUGCGUAGAUAUCGAGAGGAACACCGGUGGCGAAGGCGGCAUCCUGGACCGGCAUUGACGCUGAGGCGCGAAAGCCAGGGGAGCAAACGGG
This 253-nucleotide ribosomal RNA is filed under the name uncultured bacterium. RNAcentral's name for it is "partial 16S ribosomal RNA". It matches the Rfam family "Bacterial small subunit ribosomal RNA", at positions 524 to 776 of the family's 1533-position model. The record is from RNAcentral.